Molecule: long non-coding RNA, 722 nt
Organism: Gymnogyps californianus (California condor)
Lineage: Eukaryota; Metazoa; Chordata; Aves; Accipitriformes; Cathartidae
Exons: 3
Source: RefSeq, a predicted model, not a curated record
UGGAGUUUCUCCUUGCCAUAACUCUGCCCAUCCGCUCUGCAGCACCUGGAGCAAAGCCCAGCAGGAGGCAAGGUCAUGCUGACCGAAGCCGUAACAUCAUCAAGAAGGAAGUCAACAGGAACACAGAGGACGAAGAAGAAGAAAUUCCCAUAAACACCACUGGCUGCUGCUAAAAUUAAAUGGGAAGGGUGCUGGUUCCUAAUUUACUAUUCCUUCCUGCGAUUUCCCAUCCGCUGGGCUCAUGCCUGCGCUGUGAGAGCAGCUCCCUGGGAUGGAUGGCUUUCUGCAGCAGCUGUUCCUGGGGAGCGGCAAGCUGACAUUGCACGGCAGGACUCAUCCUACUCAACACAGGUGCCCGUCCUCCCCGCCACGUCUAGCCCCUGGCCAAAGGCAGCUGCCCGAAGGCGCUGCCCACAGCCAGGCUCCUGCAAGCCCCCCGGCGCAGGCAUGCAUGGGGGGAGCCGAGGAGCUGCAGCUGGGGACCGGGGCUGCGGGAUGGCCCGUUUGCCUCCAACAGCUCCUGCAACUCAUGGGAGUGGGAUCACGCAAGUCUUUCUGCCUGCUCUUACCCCCUGUUUAUUUCGGAGGCUGGCUUUUCUUCUCCUGCCAUCCUCAUUUUAGUAUUGUUAGAAAGUAGUUACAACUGAAAUAAAUGUGGCUGAAGCUCGUGGUUUACAAAAAACUAUUUAUACAACAGGAAGGAAGUCCCACAGCUCUCUUGG